AAUACAAUAAGAAAUGCAACAUUUGAUAGGAUGACUCAUACAAACCAUUAGGCAUGACUAUUGUAUCACACAGGAUAAUUUUUAGGUAGCCAAGAGAGCACUGCUAGCAAUCUCCUAUCCUAAUCAUACAUGCAAAAAUCAGCCUCUUAUUUAUGCUGGGAUAGAGGCUUUAUCAUUGUACUAUCUAUAACAUACACGACAUAUCACAUAUCACAGAUUACAUAUCUAGAGCAGCCC
Pelobates cultripes (western spadefoot toad) is the source of this 237-nucleotide non-coding RNA. The record is from the annotation of a GenBank genome assembly. Lineage: Eukaryota; Metazoa; Chordata; Amphibia; Anura; Pelobatidae.